Molecule: ribosomal RNA, 253 nt
Filed under: uncultured bacterium
Lineage: Bacteria
Description: partial 16S ribosomal RNA
Rfam family: Bacterial small subunit ribosomal RNA
Source: RNAcentral
GACAGAGGUCCCGAGCGUUAGGCGGAAUCGCUGGGCUUAAAGCGUGUGUAGGCGGAUUUGUAAGUACCUUGUGAAAUCCCACGGCUCAACCGUGGAACUGCUUGGUAUACUGCUUAUCUUGGGCCACUUAGGGGUUACCGGAACAAACGGUGGAGCGGUGAAAUGCGUAGAUAUCGUUUGGAACGCCAAUGGUGAAAACAGGUAACUGGGAGUGUGCCGACGCUGAGACACGAAAGCUAGGGGAGCGAACGGG